GACUGAAGGUGGGGCCACAGAGGCCUCUCCCCUGACAAAUAAAGCAGAUUCAAGUAUGGGACUGCCCACACUUGCAGGCUUCCUCUAGCCCCAAGAAACACAAACUCCCUUCUCACAUCAACCAUAGAGCUUCUUCUUCUUGUUAUUUUCAGUCAUGGGGUGACACAGUAAUUAAAAGAAAAAAAUCUCAACUAUGAAUGCUGACAUGUUAUUUUGUCUCUUGUCUCCUGUCAUCUGGAACCACAAUUCUGUCCAUGUCAGGAACUCCUUCAUGUGGAAGCUCCUUCUACCAAUACACAUUGGCUACAGUCUGUAAUUUAUCAUGUGGCAUUGAGAAUUGGAGCAUCUUGCUUACAAGUGUGUGUCAAAGGCAGGAAAUGAACCUAAUUCUUCUUGACUCUAAGGUUAGCUCAGUAUCUAUUGUGCCAUGCUUCCAGACCAUGUUUGAAGAGAAAUUCACCCAAUUGAGUCUUCCAUCUCCCACCAGAUGCAGCACAGGACUCCUCUUCCCCUGUCCUGCUUGGGCAGCAGCCAGGCUUCUGACAUUGUACUUCUGGACCAGUACUCUUCAAUCCAUUGGCACUGGACUGACACUGGACUGAAUCCUGGCCGUCUCACUAACAAGCCUCUCCAUCUCAGCCUGGCUAUCCCCCAUGCCUAGAACUCUCUCAUCUGCACACUCUGACAAUUUACUUUCCUGGCUUCCUUUAAGUCCCAAAUACAAUUUCAUUUACUUCGGGAAGCCUUUCCUAAAGCCUUCAUUCCUGUGUAUAGCUAAAUUUGUUUCUAUUUGUUUGUGUAUUGUCUUCUCUAUUAGAUGGUAAGCUUGAGGGCAAGAAACAUCUAUUCCUUGGUGCUUACUGCAAUGUCUGGCCUAUAGUAAGCACUUAAAUGUUUAUUGAAUGAACAAAUUACAUAUAUAUAUAUAUAUAUCCCUGCCUAUUAUCUCUCUUAUUAGAAUGUAUGCUUCUAGACAGGGAAAGGACUAGUUUCCUUUUGUGUUUGUAUAGCCAGUGUUUAAUUAGUAUUAAUUAAUAGUAGGUACAUACUGCUCAUUGAUGAAUUGACUGAUGAAUUGAAUGGAAGAAAUUUCACCCCUCCUUUGACUUCCAACAUUUGGCACAUUGCUUAGAAUUUUGCCCUCUCCUCACUUCUAACAUUGUAUAUGCUUAACUAAAAUUAUGUUUCACAGUGUUUGGGCAAGGGAUGGAUUUGGUCUAAGGAGCAUGACAGGUAGAGAGGAUGAAGCACAGGCUUUUUAAAAAUUGUAUCUGUCAUUUAAUUCUUUAGCCACUUUGUUGACCCUUCACCUCAGGCAGGUGUGUCUGUGUGUGUGUGGGGGGGUAUUUGGUAUUCUCUCCAUUGCCUAUGUUAUCUGAGUUGCUAAUCUCUCCAUGAGUCCAAUUCCACUCAAUGACAGCAGUUCUAGGGAACAAGGGUUGAGCGAUAAGGGCCUGUUUCCUUUCUGUGUGUAUUUUUUCACUGACCUGACUGUUGAAAUUUGCAAGACAAGAAGGGGCUACUUCAAGUACAAUGAUGCCCUGUCCUUGAAAGGCACUGGAAGCCAGAAAGAACAAUGGGUAGAUAAACUUGGAGUCCCUAGACUUCAAGGUUUCUCCACUUGGUUAUUUUCCAAGCAACCCAUAAGUACCUUUUAGUAAAGUAAAUUGUCAGACAAUAACCACAGAAAUUUAAAGACAAACAACUUUGAAAGGCUUAAGAUCUCUGAUCAAUGCAAUGACCAACUAUGAUUCCAGAUGACUAAAGAUAAAGUAUGAUACCCACAUCCUGACAGAAUGCAAGAUGCAUUAUUUGGACAAAACCAAUGAGCAAAUGUAUUUUGUUUGACUGUGCAUAUUUAUUACAAGGUGUUUUGUUCUUUUUUUUUCCUCAAUGUGGAAUUGGGAAAAGUGAGAGGAUGAAAAAAGUAAUGCUUAUUCAUUUUUUAAAGUAAAUUAAUCAUGAAAAUUGAUAAUAAUAACUUGGAGUAUAUAGAACUUUUCUCAAGGAUGCUGAAUCAAAAAAGUGUGCUAAUAGUAUUGGUAUUCCUUUAGCAUCAUUAGAUACAAAAGAUUUUAGUACCUAGUUAGUGAGAAUAAUUCACUAAAAUAGGAAGCUAUCAAAUGGUUGUCUAGGAUGCACUUCCCUUGUUCCUAUGCUACUCCUCUAUGGGCAUUUCAGCUCUCCCAUCCCAUUUCCCACUGAUAUCCCAAUGUCUCUGUCUCUCUUCCACACCUAGCUACAAGUCUGCUUCAUGCAACUAGUCCUAGGAAUGGUCCGUGGUACUUUUCCACAGACAAAAAAAAAUAUUUAAGCACAGUCAUAUUAUGCUAAAUCUGUAGUAAAUGACCUUGAGGAUAUACAUGGUUUGACCAUGGAAUCUUUCACCUAUAAUACUAAUAAUUCCAGUUAUAGUUACUGACAUUUAUAUAGAUCUUCAGGGAUUACAAAGUGGUUUGCAUGCAAUAUCUCAUUUUAGUCUCAUUACAACCCUGAAAGAGGUAUAUUACUAAUCUAAUUAUCUUUAUUUUACAGGUGAGGAAACUAUUUUUUGUUUGUUUUUUGUUUUUGUUUUUAUUUUUUAUUCUUUUACUUUUGAAAAUUUGUAUUUAAGUAAUUAAUUUAGAAUGUUUUUCCAUGGUUACAAGAUCCAUGUUCUUUCCCUCUCCUCUCCAAUCCCCUCCCAUAGCCGACACACAAUUCCACUGAGUUUCACAUGUGUCAUUGAUUAGACCUAUUUCCAUAUUAUUGAUAUUUGCAAUAGAGUAAUCAUUUAGAGUCUAUAUCCUCAAUCAUAUCCCCAUCAACUCAUGUGAUCAAGCAAUUGUUUUUCUUCUGUGUUUCUACUCCCACAGUUCUUUCUCUGAAUGUGGAUAGCAUUCUUUCUCUUAAGUCCCUCAAAAUUGUCUUGGAUCAUACAGGUGAGGAAACUGGCUCUUUCUUUUUAACUAUUUUUUUAAUACCUUAACCCCUUACCUUCCAUCUUAGAAUCAAUCCUAUGUAUUGUUUCCAAAAAAAGGCAGAAGAGCAGUAUGCAAUGGAGGUCAAGUGACUUGCCCAGGAUCAUACAUCUAGGAAGUGUGUAAGCCCAGCUUUGAACCCAGAACCUCUUGUCUCUAGUCCUGGCUCUCAAUCCAUUGAACCACCUAGCUUCCCCUCAAACUGGCUCUUUCAAGACACCCCUGCUGCUGUUAUCCCAGUAGAAUUGAACAAAUAAGCCCCUUUUAUACUAAAUAUAAUAAUAAUAGCUAACAUUUAUAAGGUAAUACAAUGGAUAGAUUGCCUAGUCCUGGAGUCAGGAAGAUCUGAAUUCAAAUCCAGCCUCAGAUACUUACUAGCUAUGUGACCCUGGGCAAGAAAGAACUAAUGGAGUUUGAGAACAGAAUGAAUUUUACCAUUCUUCACUUUAUUUCCUCCAAAUGACAUGUAACUUCUUUUACAAUAUGAUGAACAUGGAAAAAUUGUAGGAUAAGAUACAUACAACCUAUAUCAGUGAUGGCAAACCUUUUAGAGACAGAGUGUCUGGCCCUGUCCCUACCACACACCCCAGACCUAGUACCAUGCUCCUCCCCCUCCCCCCACAUGCUGGGUAUUCCCUGCCCCCUCCUUACCCCACACAGGAGAGGGAGAAAGUACUACCAAUGGGUUGCUAGACAGUGUGACAAGGAAAUCACUUUUAAAAGACUGAUAUAUAUUAAUUUAAGGUCGCCAAGGAAUUCAGCUAUGUAAUUCCUUAAUGAAAACUCAAGUCAGCCGUCAACCUUUUAUGGAGUUUUAAUUACAAACAGGAGGAAGAAAGGAAUUAGAGAUAGAGAGAUAGAGGGAGAGAGAAAGGGGAGAGAAGGGAAUAGGGCUUAAAUACCCCUUCUGUGUAGGCUGGGCCAAAAGGCCCAAGCCCUUAGAUAGCUGGGGAAAUGAAAGGAGAUCAGUCCCUAUUACUCACGUGACCAAAAAUGGAGAAAGAGUCUCUGGGGCCCCCACCUUCAGCUUCCUUCAGCGCAAGCUUCUCAGAGCACACCGCAACCACUCCGACCAAACUCCUCCACCCCCUCCAGUCUUCAGACCCCCCUAUCCUUAAGGAAACCAUCCAAGUUGCCUCCCCUCAGUCCUCACAUCUACCAAUCACCUGUCCAUCAAUUUCCCUGUGCUAAUGGAGGCUCUAGCUUAACCCAGGACCGCCCAGAGGUCUCUGGCUUUGCACAUGUCUGUUGAAGGUCAUAUUUUCAAAUAAUUAAAUCUUUGAUCCUUUGUUACAGCCCUUUCUAAAUCCUGUUAACCUGAGUAGGGUAGAGAUUGGAAUAAUUAAAUUUUGAUCUAGGCUGCAGCCUUUACUCAAUCCUGUUAGGACUGAAUAGGGUGGAGAUUGAUUCCAAGUAUCUCCAUUGUAUCAAUUCUAAAAUCAAUCAUGACUCAAAGAAAUUCCUGUUCUAUGCUUAAGCAUAGGUCAAAGUCCUUUCCAUUGUUCAGCAAAAGGUUUCUGUCCUAAAGUAAUCUUAAGAAGGGAAGAGAAGGAACCUCCCAUGCCAAUGGGGUUCACAUUCCAAUAGUCAAGACCCACUAUCAAUAGGAAAUUUUUCAAGUAUGAAAUUUCCCAAUGGUGAAAUUUCCAACAUUUAUAAGUCUAAGAAAUUUUGAGGUUUACAACAGAGAGUUGGAUGAAGUGAAAAUGUCCUCAGCAAGUGUUGAGAGGGGGAAGGGAGUAGCCCAAACAUUCAGCUCCCCUCCAGUUCUGCCUUCUGUAAACCGAAAGCCUUAUUUCCUAUGCGCUCCCACUGGGCUACUGAGCAGAGGGGAAGAGGCUAUGAAAAAAUAUCAUUAGGCCUAGUGGAGAGGGGGAAGGGAGCAACUCUGCCUGCAUCCCUCUGCCUUUCUAGUAACAAAUUUGGAUGGGGUGACUGAGUGCCCACAGAGAGCACUCUAUAUGUGAUCUUUGGCAUUCAUGCCAUAGGUUUGCCAUCACUGAUCAAUAUCAUAUUUCCUGUCAUCUCAGUGGGGAGGAGUAGGAAAAGAGAAAUAACAUGAAUUGCAAAAUGUCAGAAAAUUAUUUUAUACAUACAUAUUUUAUACAUAAUACAAAACUUGUAUUAGAUACUCAUAGAACAUGAACAGAAAGAUAAAACACAAAAGACUUGAUUUAUAGGAAUAUGUUGGCCUCCAUGAUGAUAUGCUUUGUGAUGUUAGGGAAGGUGGAGAGAGAUUGGGACACUAAAUGGGAUCUGUUAUGUGGAUGUAAAGAAAAAUAAGAUAAACAUAUAGGAGAUCUGUGAUUUCAUUUGUAUAGUAUCUUCUUUUGUUAUAUAUGGAAAUACUUGUUUGGAUUUGAAACAUUUAGAAUAAAAAUGGUUUUAAAAAUUAUAUCAGCGUAUUAAAACAUUAAAAGAAAGAAAAGAAACAAAGA
Molecule: non-coding RNA, 5398 nt
Organism: Monodelphis domestica (gray short-tailed opossum)
Lineage: Eukaryota; Metazoa; Chordata; Mammalia; Didelphimorphia; Didelphidae
Source: RefSeq, a predicted model, not a curated record